UGACUGGUGACAGAGUGAGAGAGGGGGUGACUAAUGACAGAGUGAGAGAGGGUGUGACUAGUGAGAGAGGGGGUGACUGUCACUAGUCACCCCAUCCCUCUCUCUGUCACUAGUCACUCCUUCCCUAACUCUGUCACUGUGUCACCCCCUCCCUCACUCUGUCACUAGUCACCCCCUCUCUCACUAUGUCACUAGUCA
This is a non-coding RNA of Pelobates cultripes (western spadefoot toad), 198 nucleotides long. NCBI's taxonomy places the organism in Eukaryota, Metazoa, Chordata, Amphibia, Anura, Pelobatidae. The record is from the annotation of a GenBank genome assembly.